CCAUUGGUUUUGUCAUGGAUGAAGACAUAAAAGGAAUUUAUAAAAUCCAUAGGUGACACAAGGCUGGGAAGGAUAUUGAAGAUGCUGGAUAAUAACAGAAGAUUAUAGAGAUGUCUUGGGCCCCUUCUGAAUUAUUCUUCAAAGAUAGCCUGUGGCUCCACCCCCACAAAGCUGGUAGGAUGGCUGGAAGCAGAGUAUCCAGUAGAAGACUCCAAGGUCUUAGCGAUUGAAAAGCCACUGGAUGGAAGGAGCCUGGUCCCCUGAGAUACCACUUGGAGCAGAGAUGCCUUCCACUUUCACCAGGAAACCCAUAUUGGACUGUGAUGUGAACAAGAAAUACACUAUU
Talpa occidentalis (Iberian mole) is the source of this 346-nucleotide long non-coding RNA. RefSeq lists it as uncharacterized. NCBI's taxonomy places the organism in Eukaryota, Metazoa, Chordata, Mammalia, Eulipotyphla, Talpidae. The transcript is spliced from 3 exons. The record is from RefSeq and is a predicted model, not a curated record.